Long non-coding RNA from Brienomyrus brachyistius, 2172 nucleotides. RefSeq lists it as uncharacterized. The record is from RefSeq and is a predicted model, not a curated record. NCBI's taxonomy places the organism in Eukaryota, Metazoa, Chordata, Actinopteri, Osteoglossiformes, Mormyridae. The transcript is spliced from 3 exons.
CUUAAAUUGGUGCUUCGCACGUAGCAGGAUCGACCUCAGCAAAUCGAUAUGAUUUCUGAUGGGAAUUAUGCUGAUGCUAACGAACGACUCAUGGGCCAUGAAAAGACUGCAAGGUUCCUAAGUAAAGAGGCCGCUUUACGCCACGUGGAAAGUGCUGCGAUCCGACCGACGUUUUGGCCAGGGGGGUGAUCCUGUGGUCCGACUGGAUAUACGCACUCCAACAAAAAUUGGCACGCAUUAAAAGGGGAGGAGGCCCUUGGGGGUGCCGGUGUGGGGAUGCAAAGAGAGUCCCCGGUAAACCACGUUCAGCUAUUUAUUUUGCUUUGUGGUGGUCCCUGCGUGAUUAUGGCUCCACUGUUCUCCUGCCAGAGCUGGGCUAUUAAAACCCAAGCUGUGGAGAGAGUGCUGGCAAUUAUGCUGUUCUGGACAAGGCGGUGACCUUAAUUACAUGCUCCGGGGGUUUCUCUCUACAACUGCACAUGCAGAGAUUGCAGGUGCGUAGAGCCUCAGCGACUCCUGUCUGCCCGGCCCAACCUUCUCACCCAGCACACAAACACAGAGCGACUGCUCCGACUGGCCAACUUAACCACAUUUAAAAGCACGGGGCCCAUUUUAGGUUUAUUAAGAGGCCCGCUGUCCUGUUUCAGGACAUUCUGAAAGCCGUUGUACUAUUUAGAGUAGCAGGUGGGCACGUGUGAACGCGUGUCGGCUGUCCUUGCUGCAACUCAGGACUUCAGUGUCAACAAAACGCAGAGAAGGGAAUUGUGGGAACUGGCAGGGUUCCCACACAGGGGUGCCCCUAGAGAUUUUGGGCCCGAUGAAAACAUACCGUAUGGGGCCCCCAACCCAGACUAAUCCAAUUAUGUAUCAAAUUUUUUGAGGCUCCUGUUGACCAGAGGCUUUGGAACCUUCCUAACCUUCCUCCUCUUUAUAGGUCCAUUUCCCACGCUUUGACUCAUGCUAAAGAAUGCGGACGGCAAAUAACCCUGAACACUUCCGCAGUUAGACUCUCGGUGAUGGUAUCUCUGGACCAAGAUGCACAGGUGAAAUGCACAUGGCGAGCUAUUCUGGACGGGGGCUGAGAGGGACCUUGCGUAGAAGUGUCCCCUGACCUGCAAUCGUCUCUUCCACCCACUGUAAGACACCCGGGUGGGCGGAGCCCCGGUGAAGCACGGAGGCGAUUGCCGAACUGCCUGACGGCGUCUGCGGGCAACCCGAGACGCGAAACUCUGCUGUCCCCGUUUACAAGGAUGUUAAAAGUCACACGGCUGGUUUUAAGAGACCCUGCGGGCUCGCGCAUCUCCUCGCACUUUGAAGGGAGUGCUGAGCUGAGCAAACGCAUCUCUACCCCCCACGGGGCGUGGGAGGGACAGGGGGACUGGGUUGGAGUCGGAGGAGGAGCCCCCAUUAGCCAGAGGGUCGCCUUGACAUGAGACCGUGUGGUGGGAUUCAGGCUGCUCACCAUUGCUCUGACACAUGUCACAGGGUGAAGGGCAGUUUCCACUCAGUGUUUACACUUCCUGGAGAUACUUUUGCCAGUGGAUUCAAUACUCAGUCCAUCCUUAUGUCUCCCCCCCCCCACAUGCACAGGUCUGUUUUAUGGAAUUUUCCCAUUUCCUGUUCAGGGUGUGUGCCCAUCGCUUCUUCACACAUGAAAAAAGGUUGUCUGUUAUGGAACGGGGGCAGGAAAAGAAACCAAACAGACAUGUGGAAAGAAAUGAAGAGUGCCCACGUCCUGAAAAACCACCGGGGGGAGAAAAGGAUUCUGGGAGAAAAAAAACAGAAGCAAGAGACACUAAUGCAGGGGAAAAGGCAGAUGAGCAGAAUAAGGGAAGAAGAGAAAAUGGCAGCUCGUUGUGUGUGUUUAGGGAAAGACUGCUUAUUUACUCAUUUGCUCAAACCUCAGUGUCAAUUAUGGAUACAGAAAUAAGUUUAAUCCCCUGUAACAAAACUUUGGCACCAAGGGUAGGUCUGCUGUGUUUAAACCCUGGGAAAUCACACACAGUCGUGGACCAUUUAUGAUCAGAGCUAAAUAUCGUCCCGUUUAGGGAGUGGGGAGCAGAGAAGGAAAGCUUCCCGGAGAGAGGCACCAUCUUGACCUUUCCAUUCACCCUCAGCAUUAUAACAUGUCAAGAAUCAUUUUCUCAUUUUUUUUCAGAGUCAUUUUUGCUU